Oreochromis aureus is the source of this 2153-nucleotide long non-coding RNA. The record is from Ensembl. Lineage: Eukaryota; Metazoa; Chordata; Actinopteri; Cichliformes; Cichlidae.
CGGCGCCAAUUUUGACGUCACACUGCGCUACGUUUUUGUCUCGGUGCUAUGAAAUCCUACAAUGGCAGCCUUAGACAAAAUACUGUUAAUUUAAGUAUAUUCAGUGUUUAAAUGCUUACAUUUACACACACAUUAACUGUCCCUUCACACAAAGGACUCUAUUCAUCUUCUAUGAGCUGUCUUUGUAUCUAGUUUUCCCUCUUUAUUGACGUUGUUCCUUAUUUCUCCUCUUUUUUUCAGAUCACAUUUGGUUACUACCAUCCACUCAUCAAUACACAGGGCAAGAAAAGACUCCAAAUUUUACAAAAGUUAAAAUGAAAGACUGGUGCAUUGUGCAGUUCAACACUGGUGGUACAGAAAUUGUCCCUAGUUCAUGGUUAAAUGGGAAGAAAUUGUCAUGGCCUCCAUAUCCUCCGCGAGACACAUUUAGGAUCCACGCCGCAGUAAAGAGGAGAGUUCAUCCUGGUGCAACAUGGCUCACCUAUGCACCAGUCCGGCUUCUCAUAAGCCAUGACACAUUUCAAGAAGCCGAACGCAGUCUCCAGAAAUAUCUCAGUGAACACUGUGAUACAUCUGACCUUCAGUCCGAAGCUGAAAGUCAGACCACUCUUAAACAUAUCUUUGAUUGUUCAGAAUUUAUAAUUUUGUCUUUUGUACAUAUCUGUGAUGCUUGAAUACUGCAAUAUAACCACAUAAAAUGGUCCAAAAAGUGUAAGUUGGUAAACUUUUUAAAAAUGCAAAGCCGUGUACACUUGUGCACUUCAAAAAUUCAUUGUAUACUGCACCUUCGUGCACAUCUCCGUUUCCUGUGUGUGUGUUGUUACAAAUCAAAGUGUACAAAAUAUGCCAAACGCAGAUUUGUAAUUACUUAUGAACUGUUUCUACUUAUUUCUUUAGACCAAAUCCCCUGUACACGUAUAGUGACUCAGAGGAUGAGCAGCCCACAAAAAAAAGGUUUCCCCAGGCCCCUCGAGUGAAAAUACCAGCCCUCAACGCUUCGCAGUCUUCCCCCCAGCCCACUGACAGCAGACAUCAUAAUGCCCCUCCCAGCUUCCGGCACCUUUCGCCACUCUGGGAGAACAUUCCGAACGACACACCUUUACAAUCUCCCCAGCAUGCAGAGUCUGAUGUUGAGGCCUUCCCUAUAGAUGAUUCCAGAGACUCUGUGAGGCCACUAUUACAAGAUGCGACCGCACAAAAGUUUUUAACAAUGCUGUCAGACCUGACGAGAUCUGUCAACGAACUGCGUGAGGAGGUCAGAGCCAUCCGCAAUACCGGCUCAAAUGAAUCUCUAGAUGCUGGGGUACUCCCUUUGGAUUUGCCCUUAAACAGCAUUGAGGAGCUAAACCAUGCAGAGGCAGCUCUUACGUCGCAAGAGGCAAUUAAGGCAAUGGUGAGACGGUUUGCCUUGAUUGGAGGGACCACACUUGAGGUGCGAGUCCGCCGUGUAAUGGCUUAUGCCAUUACAAAUGAGCUGGCCUCACUACUAAACUGGGCAGGGAAAAAAACAAAGGACCACACGAAGCAAAAAAGGGCAUUUAAAGAUACUGCGCUGUGCAGAUGCAUAUUUGAUGGCCUGACGCAGCAAUUAGGGGCAAACUCGAUGUCAGAGUUUCUCUUUGCACAGGCAGUGCAGAAGUGGCUACGGUACGCCCCAGACCGUUUGGGUGGUGCAGGACGCACAUCAUCCGUCCCCAUCCCAGAGGAGCAGUAAAAACUACAAAGUUAUAUUAAAAUAUAAAUGUAAAAUAGAAAACUGUGUUUAAAUAAAGUAUUUAGCAAACAAAACAUGUCUAUUGAGCUUUUUUGUUUAGUUUUUUUUGUCUCUGUUACAUCACAUGCAAUGCUUUCUUAUUUUAGGAUAUUAAUAUUGACAUGAUACAUUGUGAGACAUUUGAUUUUUAUAAAGGGUGUCCAGUUUGAGGAUUCAGUGCAAUUAUGUGUUUAGGUGGUUUAAGUGUUGAUGGAAACAUGCAGUAGUUUAGUAUGGUUAAAAUAACUAUAAAGCAAGGUAGAUUUCCAGUCAUGAUUUAACUGUUGUUUUAAUUUUAAAAAAAAAAUGCAAAAGAGGUGGAAAAUCAACACCAUAGCUCAACAGUGUUUCAAUAUCAGAGUCUGACAUUGUUUCAAUGUCAAGAGUAUUAGAAAAUAUA